UCUACUAAUAAGGGAGUAGAACGGACUCGAUGCGAGGUGGAGAUAAUAAAAUCAAAAAUGGGAGGGGGAUCAACCCCUAUUUAUAGGUUCUUUCGACGAUCAGGAUCGACAUCGAGUACCAUGCCUAACCCGGAGAUCAUGACAUGUGGCAGCAAUCUCGAUUGAUCAUCUCAGCGCCCAUUCGGUGCACCACCAUUCUGAUCUUGCCGAGUAGGCUUAAUCUGCAUGACCACAAAUUGACCAAUGGGCAACUGACAUGAGGACGACUCGGGUAUGCAUGCUCAUUAUUACCCUACCAGUCAAUCUUCUAUCAUUAAUAUGAAAGAUCAUCUCGAGCUUUGCGGUAUUUAUUGCCAUACGAUCUGCGAUGGGACUGUGCUGCCACACGAAAAGACAAGACGACGGCCUGCCCUACGAAGCGACAAUCGAGUGACAGUCAGCUAAAGCAACUUGGAUCGAUUCAGAGACGAACUUCAUUCACCUGACUAACUACGAAGUCAGACUCGGGAGUUGGGGAGUUAGGGG
This 525-nucleotide long non-coding RNA is filed under the name Elaeis guineensis (African oil palm). RNAcentral's name for it is "long non-coding RNA (EGUI_LNC017597)". Lineage: Eukaryota; Viridiplantae; Streptophyta; Magnoliopsida; Arecales; Arecaceae. The record is from RNAcentral.